This 484-nucleotide ribosomal RNA is filed under the name uncultured bacterium. RNAcentral describes it as "partial 16S ribosomal RNA". It matches the Rfam family "Bacterial small subunit ribosomal RNA", at positions 30 to 507 of the family's 1533-position model. The record is from RNAcentral.
AUUGAACGCUGGCGGCAGGCCUAACACAUGCAAGUCGAGCGGAUGAAGGGAGCUUGCUCCUGGAUUCAGCGGCGGACGGGUGAGUAAUGCCUAGGAUUCUGCCUGGUAGUGGGGGAUAACGUCCGGAAACGGGCGCUAAUACCGCAUACGUCCUGAGGGAGAAAGUGGGGGAUCUUCGGACCUCACGCUAUCAGAUGAGCCUAGGUCGGAUUAGCUAGUUGGUGGGGUAAAGGCCUACCAAGGCGGCGAUCCGUAACUGGUCUGAGAGGAUGAUCAGUCACACUGGAACUGAGACACGGUCCAGACUCCUACGGGAGGCAGCAGUGGGGAAUAUUGGACAAUGGGCGAAAGCCUGAUCCAGCCAUGCCGCGUGUGUGAAGAAGGUCUUCGGAUUGUAAAGCACUUUAAGUUGGGAGGAAGGGCAGUAAGUUAAUACCUUGCUGUUUUGACGUUACCAACAGAAUAAGCACCGGCUAACUUCGUG